UACGAAGGGGGCUAGCGUUGCUCGGAAUCACUGGGCGUAAAGGGUGCGUAGGCGGAUCUUUAAGUCAGGGGUGAAAUCCCAAGGCUCAACCUUGGAACUGCCUUUGAUACUGAGGAUCUUGAGUUCGGGAGAGGUGAGUGGAACUGCAAGUGUAGAGGUGAAAUUCGUAGAUAUUCGCAAGAACACCAGUGGCGAAGGCGGCUCACUGGCCCGAUACUGACGCUGAGGCACGAAAGCGUGGGGAGCAAACAGG
RNAcentral lists this ribosomal RNA (253 nucleotides) under uncultured bacterium. Its description in RNAcentral is "partial 16S ribosomal RNA". It matches the Rfam family "Bacterial small subunit ribosomal RNA", at positions 524 to 776 of the family's 1533-position model. The record is from RNAcentral.